This 24-nucleotide non-coding RNA is filed under the name Mus musculus (house mouse). Lineage: Eukaryota; Metazoa; Chordata; Mammalia; Rodentia; Muridae. The record is from RNAcentral.
UGAAGCUAUCUGCACCAACCUAGA